Unclassified non-coding RNA from Polistes dominula (European paper wasp), 791 nucleotides. The record is from RefSeq and is a predicted model, not a curated record. Lineage: Eukaryota; Metazoa; Arthropoda; Insecta; Hymenoptera; Vespidae.
UCUUCUCGGUUGCGGUGAGCUCGGCCAUUUUCGUCUUCAUCUCGCUACAGUGUGGUCGUUGCUUCAAGCGGAGUUUGAGGUAACGAUCUUACAAAAUGGUUAACGGACGAAUUCCAUCGGUCUUUUCAAAGACCUACGUAACACCCAGGCGUCCUUAUGAAAAAGCACGUCUAGAUCAAGAGUUAAGAAUUAUCGGUGAAUAUGGUCUUCGUAACAAACGUGAAGUAUGGAGAGUCAAGUACACUUUGGCUAAAAUUCGUAAAGCUGCUCGAGAACUUCUUACGUUGGAAGAAAAAGAUCCUAAACGUCUCUUCGAAGGUAAUGCAUUGUUGAGACGUUUGGUAAGAAUUGGUGUGUUGGAUGAGGGACACAUGAAACUUGAUUACGUUCUUGGUUUGAAAAUUGAAGAUUUCUUGGAAAGACGUCUUCAAACUCAAGUAUUUAAAUUGGGUCUUGCUAAAUCGAUUCAUCAUGCCAGAGUUUUGAUUCGUCAACGUCACAUUCGAUGUCAGGACAACAAUUUACCUGGUUGAUCACACCUGACUUGACACCAUUUAUCUUAAAACUUGACUUCAAUCGAAUGGAAUGUUAAAUGUUUGAAGCUACUUUAAUUUCAUACAGGCCACUUAAACGUUAAUUAAAUAUUAACGUUUAACGUCUGUUGUUGAUAUUGGAACAAUAAUCCGUCAUCCUUAUAUUCGGGUGCGUAAACAAGUGGUGAACAUCCCAUCGUUCAUUGUACGAUUAGAUUCGCAAAAGCACAUUGACUUCUCAUUGAAGUCACCGUUCGG